UGCGUAGGCGGGUUUUUAAGUCAGGGGUGAAAUCCUGGAGCCCAACUCCAGAACUGCCUUUGAUACUGAAGAUCUUGAGUCCGGGAGAGGUGAGUGGAACUGCGAGUGUAGAGGUGAAAUUCGUAGAUAUUCGCAAGAACACCAGUGGCGAAGGCGGCUCACUGGCCCGGUACUGACGCUGAGGCACGAAAGCGUGGGGAGCAAACA
RNAcentral lists this ribosomal RNA (207 nucleotides) under uncultured bacterium. RNAcentral's name for it is "partial 16S ribosomal RNA". It matches the Rfam family "Bacterial small subunit ribosomal RNA", at positions 568 to 774 of the family's 1533-position model. The record is from RNAcentral.